This 247-nucleotide long non-coding RNA is filed under the name Gossypium barbadense (sea-island cotton). RNAcentral describes it as "long non-coding RNA (GBAR_LNC007102)". The record is from RNAcentral. Lineage: Eukaryota; Viridiplantae; Streptophyta; Magnoliopsida; Malvales; Malvaceae.
GAGGAAGGAAAACGAUUGUAAAUAGAGGAGAAGAAUAACAGAGAGUCAGCUAACAAGGGUAAUAGCCGGAAGGAAAAACAAAGUCAAAAAAUAGAAAAAGAUAAUCCCCGUAAGAACCCUAACAAUAUUCGACCAAAGAGUGGAGUGGUAGCAGAGAAAUAGAAUUAGUAGAUAAGAGGAUUGUAGGGAAAAGCAAAGCCGAGAACAAAAUGAAACCAAAUGGUACACAAAAGCCCUAACAAAAUCG